GAUGAACGCUGGCGGCGUGCCUAAUACAUGCAAGUCGAGCGAACAGACGAGGAGCUUGCUCCUCUGACGUUAGCGGCGGACGGGUGAGUAACACGUGGAUAACCUCCCUAUAAGACUGGGAUAACUUCGGGAAACCGGAGCUAAUACCGGAUAAUAUAUUGAACCGCAUGGUUCAAUAGUGAAAGACGGUUUUGCUGUCACUUCUCGAUGGAUCCGCGCCGCAUUAGCUAGUUGGUAAGGUAACGGCUUACCAAGGCAACGAUGCGUAGCCGACCUGAUAGGGUGAUCGGCCACACUGGAACUGAGACACGGUCCAGACUCCUACGGGAGGCAGCAGUAGGGAAUCUUCCGCAAUGGGCGAAAGCCUGACGGAGCAACGCCGCGUGAGUGAUGGAGGUCUUCGGAUCGUAAAACUCUGUUAUUAGGGAAGAACAAAUGUGUAAGUAACUAUGCACGUCUUGACGGUACCUAAUCAGAAAGCCACGGCUAACUACGUG
Molecule: ribosomal RNA, 497 nt
Filed under: uncultured bacterium
Lineage: Bacteria
Description: partial 16S ribosomal RNA
Rfam family: Bacterial small subunit ribosomal RNA
Source: RNAcentral